AUACGUAGGGGGCGAGCGUUGUCCGGAAUGAUUGGGCGUAAAGGGCGCGUAGGCGGCCCGGUAAGUCUGGAGUGAAAGUCCUGUUUUUAAGAUGGGAAUUGCUUUGGAUACUGUCGGGCUUGAGUGCAGGAGAGGUAAGUGGAAUUCCCAGUGUAGCGGUGAAAUGCGUAGAGAUUGGGAGGAACACCAGUGGCGAAGGCGAAUUGCUGGACUGUAACUGACGCUGAGGCGCGAAAGUGUGAGGAGCAAGCCGGAUUAGAUCACAUGGUAGUCCGCACUGUAGCCGAUGAAUGCUAGGUGUAGGGGGAAUCGACGCCUUCUGUGCCGCAGUCAACACAAUAAGCAUUCAGCCUGGGCAGUCCGGGCGCAAGGUUGAAUGUCAAAUGACUUGACGGGG
RNAcentral lists this ribosomal RNA (397 nucleotides) under uncultured bacterium. Its description in RNAcentral is "partial 16S ribosomal RNA". It matches the Rfam family "Bacterial small subunit ribosomal RNA", at positions 523 to 918 of the family's 1533-position model. The record is from RNAcentral.